Molecule: transfer RNA, 141 nt
Filed under: Candidatus Woesearchaeota archaeon
Lineage: Archaea; Nanobdellati; Candidatus Woesearchaeota
Description: tRNA-OTHER
Rfam family: tRNA
About the family: Transfer RNA (tRNA) molecules are approximately 80 nucleotides in length.
Source: RNAcentral
CCCCGCUUAGCUCAACGGUAGAGCGUUCGGCUGUACGAAACCGAGCCAUAGAUGCGCUCUACGACCAUAUGGAUUUGUCCACGGAAUGAGAGAGAGCCAGCCAAUACCGAAAGGUUGCUAGUUCGAAUCCGGCAGCGGGGA